Long non-coding RNA from Sinocyclocheilus anshuiensis, 528 nucleotides. RefSeq lists it as uncharacterized. NCBI's taxonomy places the organism in Eukaryota, Metazoa, Chordata, Actinopteri, Cypriniformes, Cyprinidae. The transcript is spliced from 3 exons. The record is from RefSeq and is a predicted model, not a curated record.
GCAGCCUCUGAAUCCGGUAAGCCCAACCCCCGCAGCCCAUGAAUGAUCUGUCAGGUCCUCAGUCGCUCAGACCGAGAGAUGGACAUGUGUUUGACUGCCGACAAACAGUACAGAACAUGGAGGACAGCUGCAUGCGUUCUGGACCAGGAGGAGAAACAGUGGUUGCUAACGGCACGUCACCUCCGGCCAGUUUUGUUGCAUAAUAAGAAACCCAAGCAUAGUUUAAGACUCUGGAGGACGUAGACUGCCAAUUCAAACAACAGUACUGCAGCUGAACUGCUGCUUAGGGAUUUUAGUGAGUGUCUAGCUCAUACAAUCGAAACCUUUGGGUUUGAAGUUGGCCAAGAAAGCCGAUAAAAAGCCAGCUGAGACGACGGCUCAAACUGGCCCCUAAAACCAUGGCACUGCUCAAAGUGGGCCACAGCGCAAACUGUCAGAGGACCGAGCUCGGUUUAUUGGCCUCUCUACAUCUCGCACUGGCUGACUAACCAGCACAGUGGCGCUCCUGUUCACGCAUCACUGAAACAU